AAAAAGGCUUAGAAAAAGAGGAGUAAGAAUAAGAAAUAUUAAAGAGAGAAGGGAUUAGGUGAGAGCCCUUUAUAGGAAUUAUUCUGAAGGUAGCUUUGGAGCUUUCCUUGUGAAAUUAUAGUAGCUAGGAACGGUUGUAAAUCGUUAAUUAAUUAAGUGCAUAGAAAAUAGUAUAAUUUUCUAUGAAUAAAGGUGGUACCACGAGCUUUCGUCCUUUCA
Molecule: non-coding RNA, 219 nt
Rfam family: T-box leader
About the family: Uncharged tRNA acts as the effector for transcription antitermination of genes in the T-box leader family. T-boxes are found upstream of many aminoacyl-tRNA synthetase genes and some amino acid biosynthetic genes usually in Gram-positive bacteria.